RNAcentral lists this unclassified non-coding RNA (396 nucleotides) under uncultured Inocybe. Its description in RNAcentral is "sequence contains ITS2". The stretch from base 1 to 154 matches the Rfam family "5.8S ribosomal RNA". Lineage: Eukaryota; Fungi; Basidiomycota; Agaricomycetes; Agaricales; Cortinariaceae. The record is from RNAcentral.
AACUUUCGACAACGGAUCACUUGGCUCUCGCAUCGAUGAAGAACGCAGCGAAAUGCGAUAAGUAAUGUGAAUUGCAGAAUUCAGUGAAUCAUCGAAUUUCUGAACGCAUCUUGCGCUCCUUGGUAUUCCAAGGAGCAUGCCUGUUUGAGUGUCAUCAACUUCUCAACCACAUAUUUUGUGUGGCUUGGAUUUGGUGGGGUGUUGCCGGCUUUUAUUAGUAGGCUCUCCUGAAAUUCAUAAGUGGUAUUUAGAAAAGCUUCUUGUUGGGUGUUAUAAUUGAUAAGACACCUUCUGGCAAUUCUACUAUGCUGCUCCCAACACUUUUUAGAUGAUGAUUUUGACCUCAAAUCAGGUAGGACUACCCGCUGAACUUAAGCAUAUCAAUAAGCGGAGGCU